GGGCUCAGCCCAAUCGGGAGCUGUAAGAGGGGAGAGUUCUGCUGGCUGGGAGGGAUAUGGUUCAGAAUUAGUGUUACACUUCUUUCUUAGAACUGUUUUUGCUUUUAUUUUUUCCCCCCUGCUAGCAGCAGCCAUAACAAAACCUGUCCUUGCAAAGAAGUGUGUGUCAUCAAAGGUGGAGUCAGAGUACAAAGAGGAAGAAACCUCGGUUUGACACCGCCUCACUAAUCUCAGCAGUGUAUCGCUCAUUAUUCUGCACGGGAUUAAAGACUUUGUGGGGGCAGAUUCUUCAACUCAGAGACCUAAUUUUCCCCCACCUGUCCUCAGCAUAUAUUUUCCUCAGAGAAAAAAGGUCUACGGGUUUUUUUUUUUCCCUACAAAAAAGGACUGUAGAUGUCACCUGGUGGUUAUCUCUGACUAUGAAAUCCAUAAUCCUUACAGGAUUGCUUACUCCAUUUGAGAUUUUGUUACAUCCAGCAAUUUUCAGGAUUCACUGUUAUGAUCCCCACUGCAGCUAUGAUUCUCUUCAAGAUACAUAUUUUCUCUGGCUAUAUAACAACUCUUCAGCUUUAGGAGCAUUUUCUCAGG
Non-coding RNA from Zonotrichia albicollis (white-throated sparrow), 588 nucleotides. NCBI's taxonomy places the organism in Eukaryota, Metazoa, Chordata, Aves, Passeriformes, Passerellidae. The record is from RefSeq and is a predicted model, not a curated record.